This 253-nucleotide ribosomal RNA is filed under the name uncultured bacterium. Its description in RNAcentral is "partial 16S ribosomal RNA". It matches the Rfam family "Bacterial small subunit ribosomal RNA", at positions 524 to 776 of the family's 1533-position model. The record is from RNAcentral.
UACGAACUGUGCGAACGUUAUUCGGAAUCACUGGGCUUACAGGGUGCGUAGGCGGCUAUUCAGGUCAGGUGUGAAAGUCACAGGCUCAACCUGUGAAUGCCGCUGGAAACUGUCUGGCUAGAGUCCGGAAGGGGCGAGUGGAAUUCCUGGUGUAGCGGUGAAAUGCGCAGAUAUCAGGAGGAACACCAAUGGCGAAGGCAGCUCGCUGGGACGGUACUGACGCUGAGGCGCGAAAGCGUGGGGAGCAAACAGG